UUAACAAUGGAUCUCUAGGCUCUCACAUUGAUGAAGAACACAGUGAAAUGUGAUAAGUAAUGUGAAUCGCAGAAUUCAGUGAAUCAUCAAAUCUUUGAACGCACCUUGCACCUUUUGGUAUUCCAAAAGGUACACCUGUUUGAGUGCCCUU
RNAcentral lists this ribosomal RNA (151 nucleotides) under Gymnosporangium globosum. RNAcentral describes it as "5.8S ribosomal RNA". It matches the Rfam family "5.8S ribosomal RNA". Rfam says of the family: 5.8S ribosomal RNA (5.8S rRNA) is a component of the large subunit of the eukaryotic ribosome. It is transcribed by RNA polymerase I as part of the 45S precursor that also contains 18S and 28S rRNA. Functionally, it is thought that 5.8S rRNA may be involved in ribosome translocation. The record is from RNAcentral. Lineage: Eukaryota; Fungi; Basidiomycota; Pucciniomycetes; Pucciniales; Gymnosporangiaceae.